This is a long non-coding RNA of Heterocephalus glaber (naked mole-rat), 1746 nucleotides long. The record is from Ensembl. NCBI's taxonomy places the organism in Eukaryota, Metazoa, Chordata, Mammalia, Rodentia, Bathyergidae.
AGACUCUCCAUAGCAUAUCAUCAGAUUUCCUCUGUACUUCUGGACAACUUGUAUCAGAGCUAUACCUGAGGCAAGCCUGAGAACUGCCAUUUCCAGGAAAGAAAGUCAAGGGUCACAGGUUGAAUAGUCCAGUUAGUGAAUGGACAGAGCUUCAGGGAACUGAUUCCAGCUUCGGAGCUCUUCCUCUUCCACUCUUUUGAUAAGUAACCACAAACCCUUCUUUACACCUGCUAUCACUGCAAUCAGCAGCAGUACCCCUUCCCCUCUCAAGGUGUGUAGUUCUGGGAACAGAAACUAACCAAAAAGCUUAAGGUCAACUAAGACAGCUAUACAUGAUGACAGAAACAUCAGCCAAGUGUGAGCCUCCUGUUUCACAUCCAGAAGCUUCAGCACAGACCAGAGAAGUGGGGGCAGCAGCCUCGGAGCCUGAAACCUGAGACAAUGACACCAGAACAUAAAUGUGCCCUUAUCUCACUUCCUCCACCUGACUCUCACUCCACUAUGGACCAUGGGGCUCUAGGAAAGAACCUUGGUCUCAACCUGGGUGACUCCCUCAAAAAGUCUCCAUUUGGCAAAAAGAAAAAGAGAAGGGCUGGAAAAUUUUCUACUGUUACUGUCCUGAAAUUCUAGCAAAAAAGAUCACUGAUUUCUUUAAGUAAAGCAUGUUCAACAGGGAGUUGGGGCUAAAAUAGAACUUAAGGGAACAUUCCAAUCUGAACCUCUUCACACUUGCAGUAGGCAAGUACCUUUUUUUCUUGAGGACCUUCUGUUUAAAAACACUGAAAAAUGAUGAGCUGUAGGGUUUACAGUAAUGGGAAAGGAUAAUUCAUUCCUCCCUUUUUACAAAAAGAUACCAAAGUCUAACAGGACUCCGGGUGUGCAGCGAUACAAACCCAGGACUACAACAACUGAUCCUGUCCACAUUCCAAUUCUCCUUUCUACCCUGAAGACUACUCUGGCUAUCACAGACCAGAGAGCCCCCUCUCUGAGUUCCUCCACCAACUGCAAAAAUGAUCAUCAAAGCCACUGAAAUGGAAAAUAGUGUUUACAAUGUAAUACUGGUUUUCUUAUAGCAUGUAUAAGGCACGGUGUGAGAAAGCUGCCCCUACUCCCAGCCACACAGCCACAUGGGCUCCUCAUUCACACACAUGCACACAGAAGAGGCCAGCUGAUUUUGUCACAAUCCACAAGGAAUGAACUGCUUCUGGUCACUUCUGGUUUUUCAGUUGGUUGGAGAGCCAAUCUAGGCCUUCGUAGAAGCCCAUCUCCACUGGUAGCACAAGUAGCCUGAAUAUACCAGUUUCUCUGGCGGAAGGGAAUGUAAGCCAAGCUUGUCCGUUAUUUCUGCUGCAUUCAUGGCAUUGGGAAGAUCCUUGGAAAAGAAUGUGCAAAAGUCAGUUUAUCAUGCUAUGUCUACACAAUGAGAUAUGCUCUUCCUCCUAAAACAUUCCCUAACCCAGUCUUCUCCUCCUCAGUUGUUCUGGCCAGAAACCUUAAAAUCAUCCUUAAUUUUUUCUCUCAAACCCACUGCCAAUCUGUCAGGAAUCCCAACAGUCCUACCAUGAAAAUAUAUACAGACUACUUCUCACCACCUCCACUGCUACCACCCUGAUCCAACCCCACCAGUUUCUGACCUGGAUUACUGAAAUAAUUUCCUGACUGGUCUCCACGCUUCUAUUCUUGCCCCCCAAACCUCUCCUCAACCCAGUAGUGAAAAGUCAGAUCAUUAAGUCUACCAAAACUCCA